CACGUAGGCGGUUUGUUAUGUCGGAUGUGAAAGCCCUUGGCUCAACUGAGGAAGUGCAUCCGAAACUGGCAAGCUAGAGUAUGUAAGAGGGUCGCGGAAUUCCCGGUGUAGAGGUGAAAUUCGUAGAUAUCGGGAGGAACACCGGUGGCGAAGGCGGCGACCUGGGACAAUACUGACGCUGAGGUGCGAAAGCGUGGGGAGCAAACA
Molecule: ribosomal RNA, 207 nt
Filed under: uncultured bacterium
Lineage: Bacteria
Description: partial 16S ribosomal RNA
Rfam family: Bacterial small subunit ribosomal RNA
Source: RNAcentral